Molecule: ribosomal RNA, 253 nt
Filed under: uncultured prokaryote
Description: partial 16S ribosomal RNA
Rfam family: Bacterial small subunit ribosomal RNA
Source: RNAcentral
ACGAAGGUGGCAAGCGUUGUUCGGAUUUACUGGGCGUAAAGCGUGCGUAGGUGGUUCGUUAAGUCUGAUGUGAAAGCCCUGGGCUCAACCUGGGAAUGGCAUUGGAAACUGGCGACCUAGAGUGCGGUAGAGGGUAGUGGAAUUCCCGGUGUAGUGGUGAAAUGCGUAGAUAUCGGGAGGAAUACCAGUGGCGAAGGCGGCUGCCUGGCCUGUUCUUGACGCUGAGGCGCGAAAGCUGGGGGAGCAAACGGGA